UUUAAACCGUUGAAGAGGCUAGUAACAAUUGUUAAUUUUUUAGAGAGUCGAUGUUUGGUGUAAAUCGAUAUUUUACAUUUGUGAAUCCACCUUGGAGGGGCUGUGAUGAGCAGUACGGCGGAAGUCGUUAAAUUUUUUAACUGAGAGAAUGAUGCAAAUUGCAUCAUUAAUUAGGGUGGCAACGCGGAGUCUUUCGUCCCUAUU
This 204-nucleotide non-coding RNA is filed under the name Clostridium fallax. RNAcentral describes it as "T-box sequence". It matches the Rfam family "T-box leader". From Rfam's summary of the family: Uncharged tRNA acts as the effector for transcription antitermination of genes in the T-box leader family. T-boxes are found upstream of many aminoacyl-tRNA synthetase genes and some amino acid biosynthetic genes usually in Gram-positive bacteria. The anticodon of a specific tRNA base pairs to a specifier sequence within the T-box motif, and the NCCA acceptor tail of the tRNA base pairs to a conserved bulge in the T-box antiterminator hairpin. Lineage: Bacteria; Bacillati; Bacillota; Clostridia; Eubacteriales; Clostridiaceae. The record is from RNAcentral.